RNAcentral lists this ribosomal RNA (386 nucleotides) under Katablepharidaceae sp. Its description in RNAcentral is "partial small subunit ribosomal RNA". It matches the Rfam family "Eukaryotic small subunit ribosomal RNA", at positions 582 to 975 of the family's 1831-position model. The record is from RNAcentral. Lineage: Eukaryota; Cryptophyceae; Kathablepharidacea; Katablepharidaceae.
AUUCCAGCUCUAAUAGCGUAUAUUAAUGUUGUUGCAGUUAAAAAGCUCGUAGUUGGAUUUUGGUGUUUGACAAACGGUCGGCCUUACGGUUUGUACUGUUUGUUGGCACUUCUUUUCUGGGGAACUCACUGUUCUUAAUUGAAGGGUGUUGUAACGCAGAUCGUUUACUUUGAAAAAAUUAGAGUGUUCAAAGCAGGCCAACGCAUUGAAUACAUUAGCAUGGAAUAAUGGAAUAGGACUUUGGUCUUAUUUUGUUGGUUUCUAAGGCCGAGGUAAUGAUUAAUAGGGAUAGUUGGGGGCGUUUAUAUUCCGUUGUCAGAGGUGAAAUUCUUGGAUUUACGGAAGAUAAACUACUGCGAAAGCAUUCGCCAAGGAUGUUUUCAUCG